GUACGACCUCGGACCCCGCCUCAGCGGAUGAGGGGUGCUGAGCGGUCAUUGGUGAUGGUGGGACGAAGCUUGACAGUGGCAAAAGGAUUUGUGCCCCUGUAGGAGGAGAGAGAGAAUGGGGGUCUCACAGUGUUGCUCAAGCUGAUGUUGAACUGUUGGAAUCAAGAGAUCCUCCUGCCCCAGUCUCCCUAGUAGCUGGGACUACAAGUGUGUGCCGCCGCACCUGCCACCCUCCUCACUGUUUGGGCCCCCAUGUGAGGACUCACCUCGGGAAGAGCUCCUGUGGCUAUGUGAGUCAAGGAUGGAACGAUGGUCCCAGAACAUCCCAGGAGGGUGUGACAGCCUCCAUCUAGAAGGUUCUAUCCUCAGGUCCCCAAGGCAUCUGCAGCACACCGUCCUCUGCUGUGGGUCUGUGAAGCAGCCACUCCAGCAGCAGGACAGUGGUGCCUGUCCAUUCCCUCUGCUAGCUGCCAGCCCUGCUGUCCUCCGCACUUUCUGGCAACCUCACUGUAUGAAACUCCCCAAAUCCUCCUCCACGUCAAGUGUCAAAACAGCCCAGUUUAAGUGCUUUCAGGAUUUCCACGGAGCCUGACCGCAAAGAGCAGCACGCGGUUCUGGAGCAUCCCCCGGGCCUGGCCGGGCGGGGACACGGGGGUCAGCCAGGUCCGGGCGGCUCCCUGAAUCCUGGGGACCCAAAAUGACACCCUCGACCUGAGAGCUCAGGCCCUACCAGCUCGGGACGACCGGAUUUUCUAGCUGGAAGGAGCCAGAAGCCAGCUCACCGUCCAACCCGCACCCUCUACUUUUGGCAAAGGCACCUCCAUUUUCCACGAAGAGCUUCCUCUGACCCCCCGCUUCCCGCGUCAAUGUGUGUGCUUUGAGCGGGGCUGUCCUCACCGCCCAGCUUCAGGGGUAGGGGUGGCACCCAGGCCUGGCCACUCAAUCACCCCAUCCUCCUUCCUGCAGCGAUAGGCUCAGGAAUGGCGCUUAGAUAGAAACUACGACCAAAGAACCCAGUCCCAUUACUUACUUACCCAGUAACACUAUGGAAAAUGCAUUUUUUUUUUUUUUUUUUUUUUUUUUUUUUAGACGGAGUCUGGCUCUGUCGCCCAGGCUGGAGUGCAAUGGCGCGAUCUCGGCUCACUGCAAGCUCCGCCUCCCGGGUUCAUGCCAUUCUCCUUCCUCAGCCUCCCGAGUAGCUGGGAUUACAGGCGCCUGCCACCAUGCCCAGCUAAUUUUUGUAUUUUUAGUAGAGACGGGGUUUCACCAUGUUGGCCAGGCUGGUCUCAAACUCCUGACCUCAGGUGAUCUGCCUGCCCUCGGACUCCCAAAGUGCUGGGAUUACAGGCGUGAGCCACCGAGCCUGGCCUAAAACUUCUUUCAAUGGCACUGACCUUUCUGUGUUGUCACUCAGUCAUAAUAAAAUCCCAGGUACAAUCAGAAUGCUGCAUUCUCCAGCCAUAAAGAUCGCUCCCUCUUUUCAAACAUCCCUGUCCCUCAAGGCCUAGCUCAAGACGGUCACCUUAAGAAAAGCUCCCUUUGUCGAGCAGUGACUCCAUACCAGGCCCUGCUUUAAACGCUUUAUCUGCAUUAUCUUACUUGAUUCUCGCAAUAGCCCUGGGUGGUAGGUGCAAUUAUUAUCUCCAGUUUAUAAAAGAAGAUACUGAGGGUCAGAGAAGUUAAGUGACUGGCUCAAGGUGUCACAUUCAGUAAGCGUUGAAGGGGUCUGUGUUGGUCUGUCCUUGAAGAUGCCCCCUACGACUACACUUUCAAUGAUUUCUGCCUUGAACCUGGCCCCAUGACUAAAAACCUCACGUCAAACUCAGGCAGCAAUAACGGGAAGGCUUGGUGCCUCCCAUCACUGGAGCAACUAGUCUAGCUGGUCACUAAGUGGACAGCCCCUCUGUUUCCCUGCAGUAACUAAUUAGCAGAAUAGCACAAAGAUAAAACCCGAAGGCCUUUGUGCAGAAGUUUCAGAGACAUAAGCAAAGUGAGAGCAUUAGGUUCUGCAUAUCUUUCUUGUUGUUGUUGUUGAGACAGAGUCUCGCUCUGUUGCCCAGGCUGGAGUGCAGUGGCACGAUCUUGGCUCACUGCAACCUCCGCCUCCCGGCUUCAAGUGAUUAUUCUGCCUCAGCUUCCCAAGUAACUGGGACUACAGGCGUGCGCCACCACUCCUGGCUAAUUUUUGUAUUUUUAGUAGAGACAGGGUUUCACCAUAUAGGCCAGGCUGGUCUCAAAGUCCUCAACUCGUGAUCCACCCGCCUUAGCCUCACAAAGUGCUGGGAUUACAGGUGUGAGCCACUGCACCCAGUCACAUGUCGUAUUUUAAAAGGGAUUUAAAAGUAUCAUUGGAUUGUUUGUAACACGAAGGAUAAAUGCUUGAGGGGAUGGAUACCCAUUCUCCAGCAUGUCAUGAUUACACAUUGCAUGCCUGUAUCAAAACACCUCAUGUACCCCAUAAAUAUAUACACCUACUAUGUACCACAAAAAUUAAAAUAAAUGGUGGGUGAGAAGAAACACUGCAUACGGUUUCAAAACCAUCAGAGAGGCCAUGGGAAAAAUUUUAAAAAUAUAUUUACGAAGUGAAACAGCCAUUCUAAGUAUGACACCAAACCCAUAAACUUGAAAAGACCGAUACAUUUUACUAAAUAAAAAUAAUGUUUUUGUAUAGCAAAACCAAUCAUAACACAGGCAAAUGAUAAUGGCAAACUGGCUAUUGUAUUUGCAACUCAUCACCAAGAAAAAGCUGGUUUCAGUAACAUAUCAAGAGCUCCUACAAAUUAAUAAGUGGAUGAAAAGAUACUGGCAUGUCACAGCACAGAAAAUCCAAUGGCUUUGAAACAUGAAAAGAUGUCAAGCUCGCGUUUAAGACAAGUAUGAGGUAAAGCCACACCGAGAUACCAUUUUUACCUUUCUAAUUAGCCAAGAUCAGAAAGUUUGCUCAUACACUGUUGUCAAGGGGUGCAGAAGCACAGAAACUCAUACAUCACUGAUGGAAGUGUAAACUGGUGCAACCAAUGACUAUAUUCUUGGGCUUACCAAUUCCACUUCUAGGAAUUUAUCCUGGAGAUACAUUUGCACAGCUGCAGUAAACGAGAGAAGCUAAGGAUGAGGUGGGAAGGCACGUUACUGACUAGACUUGGACUAAGCAAAGACUAAUUAGCGAAGAUGAAUAAGAAAGACAAUUUACCGUGCCCGGGCACCUAGAGUUCUUUAAAUCUUAUUCUAAGGCUGCCUUCUUUUUUUGAGAGAGAGAGCGAGCCUUGCUCUGUUGCCCAGGCUGGAGUGCAGUGGCGCAAUCUCGGCUCACUGCAACCUCUGCCUCCCGGGUUCAAGCCAUCCUCGUGCCUCAGCCUCCCGAGUAGCUGUGAUUACAGUCAUCCGCCACCAUUCCUGACUAAUUUUUGUAUUUUUAGUAGAGACGGGGUUUCACCAUGUUGGCCAGGCUGGUCUUGAACUCCUGAUCUCAGGUGAUCCACCCACCUCGACCUCCCAAAGUGCUGGGAUUACAGACAUGAGCCACCACGCCCACCCCAAAUGUGCCUUCUACUUAUAAAUAGAACAAGAAGUAAAUAUAUAUGCUUAGCUAUCUUAGGAGUUAGAUCUUGGAUGUUUUAAAGUCCAGCUGGGUCAGACAACAUGUUACUUGCUCCCUAUGUGAUAUGGUUUGGAUAUUUGUCCUCUCUAAAUUUCAUCUUGAAAUCUGACCCCCCAGUGUUGGAGGUGGGAUCUAGUGGGAGGUGAUGGGGGCAGCUCCCUCAUAAAUGGCUUGGUGCUGUACCCCACGGUAAUGAGUGGUAUGAGUUCAUGCAAGAUCUCCUUGUUUAAAAGAUUGCAGUGGCCGGGCGCGGUGGCUCACACCUUAAUUCCAGCACUUUGGGAGGCCGAGGUGGGUGGGUGGAUCACCUGAGGUCAGGAGUUCAAGACCAGCCUGGCCAACAUGGUGAAACCCCGUCUCUACUAAAAAUACAAAAAUUAACGGGCAUGGUGGUGCAUGCCUGUAAUCCCAGCUACUCAGGAGGCUGAGGCAGGAGAAUCGCUUGAACCCAGGAGGUGGAGGUUGCAGUGAGCUGAGAUCAUGCCACUGCACUCCAGCCUGAGCAACAAGAGCAGAACUCCAUCUUAAAAUAAAAAGAAAAAAGAAAGAGUGUGGCACCCCACCGGCUCCCUCUCUGGCCAUGUGAUAUGAACUUCCCCUUUGCCUUCUGCCAUGAUUGUAAGCUUCUAGAGGCUUCGCCAGGAGCAGAUGCGGGCAAUGCACUUCUUGUACAGCCUGCAGAACUGAGAGCCAAAUAAACAUCUUUUAAAAUAAAUUACCCAGCCUCAGGUAUUCCUUUAUAGCAAUGCACAACGGACUAACACACCAUGCAUAGGGGAAAAUCUGCCUGUUCAACCCACAGCUCCCUCCUGAGGGACCCUCACCCACGAGGAGGCAGUCAAGGAGGGGGUCAGCUCUUCUCUUAAUGUUGAUGGUUAACUAUUUACAGGCAAAAAGGAGUUUAACACAGGUGAAAAAGAGUUUCCUUCCAAAGAAGAUCUAUAAAUAGCUAAGAAGCACAGGAAAACAUGUUUAACAUCACUAGCCAUCUGGGAACCGGAAAUCAAUAUUGCAAUCAGAUAUCGCUUCACACCUGCUAGGAUGGCUAUUAUCAAAAAGACAGUAACAAAUAGUAGCGAGGACGUGAAACAACUGGAACCCUCAUAAACUGCUGAUGGACACGGAAACACUCCGGAAAACGGUCUGGAAGUUCCACAAACAGUUAAACAUAGAGUUACCAUAUGGCCCCACAAUUCUACUCUUAUAUACCCAAGAGAGAUGAAAACAUAUGUCCACAUGAAGACUCGUACAUGGAUGCUCAGCGCAGCAGUGGUCAUGACAGCCAAAGAGUGGAAACAACCAGGCGUCCAUCAGCUAACAUCUGAGUAAAUACAUCGAGUAAACGAGUAAAUACAAUGUGGUGUAUCCAAGCAAUGGAAUAUUAUCCAGCAGUGAAAAGGAAGCCAGUCGCAAAAGAGCACACACAUUGUAUGAUUCUGUUUAUAUGAAAUGUCCAGAAUGGGCAAAUGUAUUGAGACAGAAAGUAGAUUCCUGGUGGCCUGGGGCUGGGGGAGUGGGAGGAUUGGGAAUGACAGCUAAGGGGUACCGGUUUGUAUUUUUUUUUUGAGACGGAAUUUCGCUCUUGUCCAGGCCGGAGUGCAGUGGUGCAAUCUUGGCUCACUGCAACCUCCACCUCCUGGGUUCAAGCAGUUCUCCUGUCUCAGCCUCCUGUGUAGCUGGGAUUACAGGCAUGUACAACCACGCUUGGCUAACUUUUGUAUUUUUAGUAGAGACGGGUUUUCACCAUGUUGGCCAGGGUGGCCUCGAACUCCUGUCCUCAGGUGAUCCACCCGCCUCGGCCUCCCACAGUGCUGGGAUUACAGGUGUGAGCCACCGCGCCUGGCCGAGGUACUGGGUUACUGUGGUGGAGGGUAUUGAAAAUAUUUUAAGCUUGAUAGUGGUGAUGGAUGCAUGACUCUGUGAAUAUACUACAAACCAGAAAGUGUACACUGUAAAUGGGUGAAUCGUAUGUGAAUUAUAUCUCAAUAAAACUGUUUUUCAAAAAAGGAAGUUGUUUCUCCCUGGCAGACCUUUUGUGGGAUAGCAGGGGACGAGAAGGCUGAGCCUGGGGCCGGGUGAGGCGGUGACAGUGGGCAGAUGAGAGCCUGAGCCGAAAUCUGGGUCUUUGGAUCCAGUCAUGUAUCCCUGGGCCCGUGGGUUCAGAUCCAGAGACUCGGGGAGGGCGUGGGAGGCGUGGGAGGCGUGGGAGGGAUAAGAACCCCAAGCCAGGACCGGGCGUGGUGGCUCAUGCCUGUAAU
Molecule: long non-coding RNA, 5856 nt
Filed under: Homo sapiens (human)
Lineage: Eukaryota; Metazoa; Chordata; Mammalia; Primates; Hominidae
Description: HSALNT0277795
Source: RNAcentral